Molecule: ribosomal RNA, 418 nt
Filed under: uncultured bacterium
Lineage: Bacteria
Description: partial 16S ribosomal RNA
Rfam family: Bacterial small subunit ribosomal RNA
Source: RNAcentral
UGGGGAAUAUUGCACAAUGGGCGCAAGCCUGAUGCAGCCAUGCCGCGUGUGUGAAGAAGGCCUUCGGGUUGUAAAGCACUUUCAGCGAGGAGGAAGGGUAGUGUGUUAAUAGCACAUUGCAUUGACGUUACUCGCAGAAGAAGCACCGGCUAACUCCGUGCCAGCAGCCGCGGUAAUACGGAGGGUGCAAGCGUUAAUCGGAAUUACUGGGCGUAAAGCGCACGCAGGCGGUUUGUUAAGUCAGAUGUGAAAUCCCCGCGCUUAACGUGGGACUGCAUUUGAAACUGGCAAGCUAGAGUCUUGUAGAGGGGGGUAGAAUUCCAGGUGUAGCGGUGAAAUGCGUAGAGAUCUGGAGGAAUACCGGUGGCGAAGGCGGCCCCCCUGGACAAAGACUGACGCUCAGGUGCGAAAGCGUGGG